Molecule: long non-coding RNA, 1587 nt
Organism: Peromyscus leucopus (white-footed mouse)
Lineage: Eukaryota; Metazoa; Chordata; Mammalia; Rodentia; Cricetidae
Exons: 5
Source: RefSeq, a predicted model, not a curated record
UUGGGAUGCUAGAAGGAAAGAGGCCGGGAGUGGGGGAGAGCAGAAUGCAGAAAAAAGGGAGAUUAGAAAAGCUGGUCCAGAGGGAGAAUUUCUUUUGGCAGCGAGGAUUCCAGUUCCCCAAGGGACAGUUUCCAUUGAGGGACACCUGUGAACACAGGUCUGCAGGAGCCCUGUGUUGUUGGGACCCAGAAGAUGUUUCAGGGGGUGAGGUCAUGCCCUACUCAAGCCUGCCAUGUGAGGUACCUCUCCUUUAGGGCCAAUGAGAUGACUUAUCAGGAAAUGGAGAUUGCUGUGUAAACCUGGCAACCCAAGACCAGUCUCUGGAACCCAUGAGAAGAAGGAUCUCCAGAGAUGAGUGCUGAGUGACAGGGAGAGGCGACUUGAGGCGGGCACCGCGCUUCCUGUCCCCCUUCCUGACAUUGUGUGAAGAGGACACUUACUGUGUAGUGACUGAAGCGUGGACAGAGACUCCAACCUUGAGCCCGGCCGUGAGCCUGCCCAUCUAGAAUCAUCACACACCAAUUCUGAAUGACAGAGGAGCAUUUGAGGCAUACCUAAUGGGACAGCAGGGGGGCUGUGAGGCCCUGGGGAGAGCUGCCUGGGGGCCUGGAAUACAUUAGGUGGCCCGGUGUUGAGAGAGAAAUGGACAUUGCAAGGUCGGCAUGUUCUCUGAUGGACGGAGCAGAGGCUCAGAGGUCCAGGGAGAAGGGCACAUCCCAGCCCACCGAUGGGUCUAGCCAGGGAGAUGGGGUAGCCAAGGACAGAUCCAGGGCUGACUGAGAUCUAUGUUCCUCCCUUCCAGGGCGGUCAUCUCUCAUCUUCUCCCUCCACGCAGCUAACCCAGAGUUGUUCCGACCUCAGGCCCAGGCCUCCAGGUGUGCCUCAUCUCCUCCUCUGGGCUCCAAGGACAGAGUUCCAAAGGCAGAGGGCCCCACUCCCGACCCAGCUACCACCCCCGCAAACCGGAAGACAGGAGCUCUUUGCCCAAAAUGAAGUCUGAAGCCCCCUGGCCAGCAUCUCCACCAGACUGUCUCGUAAUCCCAUGGACUCUGCCUCAUCUCCCAAGGCAAGAUUUGGUGCUGGGAUGGAGGACGGAGCGGAUGCUGCAAACAGGCGUUGGUUUGGAUUGAGUCACCCCACGCUGGUGUGAGAGACAGCUCUCCUUGAGAUUCCAGACACACCUUUGUUCCUCCUGCCUCGGGCUUCCGUAAAACUGGGAUUUAAGGUGAAAACGGUGACUUCUGAACUCGGCUCUCCUGUCUUAUGGGGAAAGCAGAGCCACGGCAGCAAACCCCUUUGGAUACCCAUGUACGCAGUUGCUCCUUGGUGCCCCAUCCAUGCACCCUAGAGGAGUUACCAUGCCUCUCCCCACUCAAGCCUGCCAGCUCCCACGGACCUCCUCUGCAGACUCUUCAAGGUGACCUCUGUCUGGAGAUGAGGACAAUGUGCCUGUCUGUUUUUCAAAUAUUUGGAGCCUGCUAAAGACCAACACAUUUUUUAAAGUGUGUAUAAUUUGAGGGCAAUUUGAUCCAUAUGUUUCUGAUUCCCUUGCACUCAAAUAAUCAAAAUAUUGAUUUUUAAGAGCCA